This 497-nucleotide ribosomal RNA is filed under the name uncultured bacterium. Its description in RNAcentral is "partial 16S ribosomal RNA". It matches the Rfam family "Bacterial small subunit ribosomal RNA", at positions 28 to 507 of the family's 1533-position model. The record is from RNAcentral.
GACGAACGCUGGCGGCGUGCCUAAUACAUGCAAGUUGAGCGCUGAAGGUUGGUACUUGUACCAACUGGAUGAGCAGCGAACGGGUGAGUAACGCGUGGGGAAUCUGCCUUUGAGCGGGGGACAACAUUUGGAAACGAAUGCUAAUACCGCAUGAAAACUUUAAACACAAGUUUUAAGUUUGAAAGAUGCAAUUGCAUCACUCAAAGAUGAUCCCGCGUUGUAUUAGCUAGUUGGUGAGGUAAAGGCUCACCAAGGCGAUGAUACAUAGCCGACCUGAGAGGGUGAUCGGCCACAUUGGGACUGAGACACGGCCCAAACUCCUACGGGAGGCAGCAGUAGGGAAUCUUCGGCAAUGGACGAAAGUCUGACCGAGCAACGCCGCGUGAGUGAAGAAGGUUUUCGGAUCGUAAAACUCUGUUGGUAGAGAAGAACGUUGGUGAGAGUGGAAAGCUCAUCAAGUGACGGUAACUACCCAGAAAGGGACGGCUAACUACGUG